RNAcentral lists this non-coding RNA (22 nucleotides) under Arabidopsis thaliana (thale cress). Lineage: Eukaryota; Viridiplantae; Streptophyta; Magnoliopsida; Brassicales; Brassicaceae. The record is from RNAcentral.
UCGGUUUCGGGUUACUCGGUUU